This is a non-coding RNA of Manis javanica (Malayan pangolin), 362 nucleotides long. The record is from RefSeq and is a predicted model, not a curated record. NCBI's taxonomy places the organism in Eukaryota, Metazoa, Chordata, Mammalia, Pholidota, Manidae.
CAGAGAAGGAUGAGAUCACUAUCUGUGUGCGUUUCAGGGACAGCCGGAGAAUGGCCUCCUGAUGAACAGGGUCCACCCUAAGGAGCCUUACUGAUGAUGCUUACGGAGAUAAGUUGGCUCUUCCAUACUGGCAGAUUUGUUUGUUGAGAACACAUGCUAGUUGAAGGCCCACACUAACCCAGAGGGCCCCCUUAACUAAAGCAACAGAAAAGGAAGAGGAAGAGGAAAAUUGAGGAGGAAGGCCCUUGCUGUUCAGCGUGAUCCACAGACCAGCCACCCCAGAAUCACAUGAGAGCUUUUUGGAAAUGAACUGGAAGUUAUACUUCAGAUAUACUGAGUCAGAAUCUGCACUUAAACAUGGU